This 392-nucleotide unclassified non-coding RNA is filed under the name soil metagenome. RNAcentral describes it as "partial contains 5.8S ribosomal RNA, internal transcribed spacer 2, and large subunit ribosomal RNA". The stretch from base 1 to 123 matches the Rfam family "5.8S ribosomal RNA", at positions 35 to 154 of the family's 154-position model. The record is from RNAcentral.
GAUGAAGAACGCAGCGAAAUGCGAUACGUAAUGUGAAUUGCAGAUCUCUCAGUGAACCAUCGAAUUUUUGAACGCACAUAGCGCCCGCCGGUCAUUCCGGCGGGCAUGCCUGUCCGAGCGUCGAUGACGCCGCUCGAGCCCCCGUGCUCGGUGUUGGGGCGCUAGGUCUCCCAGAGGCCUAGGCCCCCAAGUAGCAGUGCGCGGUCCGGCUGCGGGCCCCGGGUACAGUAACUUCACUGUUGAGAUGCCCUGGGAGCCGCUGGCUGGAUCAGCCGUAAAACCCCCGACAUAGGCCUUCCUGUCCGCCCCCGGCGGGGAGGGAGACCGCCUAAUGUUGACCUCGGAUCAGGUAGGACUACCCGCUGAACUUAAGCAUAUCAAUAAGCGGAGGA